This 639-nucleotide ribosomal RNA is filed under the name Trichoderma asperellum. RNAcentral describes it as "eukaryotic LSU rRNA". The stretch from base 250 to 403 matches the Rfam family "5.8S ribosomal RNA". The record is from RNAcentral. Lineage: Eukaryota; Fungi; Ascomycota; Sordariomycetes; Hypocreales; Hypocreaceae.
UGGUCAUUUAGAGGAAGUAAAAGUCGUAACAAGGUCUCCGUUGGUGAACCAGCGGAGGGAUCAUUACCGAGUUUACAACUCCCAAACCCAAUGUGAACGUUACCAAACUGUUGCCUCGGCGGGGUCACGCCCCGGGUGCGUCGCAGCCCCGGAACCAGGCGCCCGCCGGAGGAACCAACCAAACUCUUUCUGUAGUCCCCUCGCGGACGUAUUUCUUACAGCUCUGAGCAAAAAUUCAAAAUGAAUCAAAACUUUCAACAACGGAUCUCUUGGUUCUGGCAUCGAUGAAGAACGCAGCGAAAUGCGAUAAGUAAUGUGAAUUGCAGAAUUCAGUGAAUCAUCGAAUCUUUGAACGCACAUUGCGCCCGCCAGUAUUCUGGCGGGCAUGCCUGUCCGAGCGUCAUUUCAACCCUCGAACCCCUCCGGGGGAUCGGCGUUGGGGAUCGGGACCCCUCACACGGGUGCCGGCCCCUAAAUACAGUGGCGGUCUCGCCGCAGCCUCUCCUGCGCAGUAGUUUGCACAACUCGCACCGGGAGCGCGGCGCGCCCACGUCCGUAAAACACCCAACUUUCUGAAAUGUUGACCUCGGAUCAGGUAGGAAUACCCGCUGAACUUAAGCAUAUCAAUAAGCGGAGGAA